CCAGCUCCAAUAGCGUAUAUUAAAGUUGUUGCAGUUAAAAAGCUCGUAGUUGGAUUUCGGAAGGUCCUUAGUAAUCCGCCCCUUCGGGGAGCGGGUUGCUGGCCUCCUAUGUUCCUAACGGUCCUCAUCCGCGAGGGUGGGGAAUCAACCGCUAGGAUCGUUUACUUUGAGGAAAUUAGAGUGUUCAAAGCAGGCGUAACUCGCCUCCGAAUACGUUAGCAUGGGAUAAUGGAAUACGACUUCGGUCUUGUUUCGUUGGUUUCGCUUGGCUGAAGUAAUGAUUGAUAGGGACAGUUGGGGGCAUUAGUAUUUAGUUGUCAGAGGUGAAAUUCUUGGAUUUACUGAAGACUAACUAGUGCGAAAGCAUUUGCCAAGGAUGUUUUCAUUGAUCAAGAACGAAAGUUAGGGGAUCGAAGACGAUUAGAUACCGUCGUAGUCUUAACCAUAAACGAUGCCGACUAGGGAUCGGCGGGGGACGUUUAGCGUUCUCGCCGGGACCUUGCGAGAAAUCAAAGUUUUUGGGUUCUGGGGGGAGUAUGGUCGCAAGGCUGAAACUUAAAGGAAUUGACGGAAGGGCACCACCAGGAGUGGAGCCUGCGGCUUAAUUCGACUCAAC
This 616-nucleotide ribosomal RNA is filed under the name uncultured eukaryote. RNAcentral's name for it is "bacterial SSU rRNA". It matches the Rfam family "Eukaryotic small subunit ribosomal RNA", at positions 585 to 1204 of the family's 1831-position model. The record is from RNAcentral.